UACGGGGGGGGCAAGCGUUGUUCGGAAUUACUGGGCGUAAAGGGUUUGUAGGUGGCCGAUUAAGUCAUACGUGAAAUCCCUCAGCUUAACUGGGGAACUGCGUCUGAUACUGGUUGGCUUGAGUGCAGGAGAGGAACGCGGAAUUCCAGGUGUAGCGGUGAAAUGCGUAGAUAUCGAGAGGAACACCUGCGGCGAAGGCGGGUUGCUGGGCUGAUACUGACGCUGAGGCGCGAAAGCCAGGGGAGCGAACGGG
Molecule: ribosomal RNA, 253 nt
Filed under: uncultured bacterium
Lineage: Bacteria
Description: partial 16S ribosomal RNA
Rfam family: Bacterial small subunit ribosomal RNA
Source: RNAcentral